AGUGCAAUAGAGAGAAGUUGGUCAACCAAAAGGUCGAGCAAGGGAUUAGCCGAGAGGUUAAAGAGUAGAAGUCUUUCAAACUAUUGCCUAGGCGAGGUAAAAGGCAAGGGCUAUUAGCUCAGCUGGUUAGAGCGCACCCCUGAUAAGGGUGAGGUCUCUGGUUCAAGUCCAGAAUGGCCCACCUAACCAAAAAAGCCAAAGAGAAGGAUAAACCCUUCAGCAUCCUGUCUGAUGAGAGUCAGAGGGAAUGCUGGAUGUAAGUCCAGUAAGAACCUUGAAAACUGCAUAAAGAGAAGAGAAAGCAGGGAAAAUCUUGCUCUUACUAACCGUUUUGAUAUUAACCACAAGGCUUUUGGCUGAGUGUGAGACUGAAGGGCGGUGAAGGUAGGAGGAAAGAUAAUCCUAGUUAGCAAAAAGAAGAUCUUAAAAAGGUCAAGCUACAAAGGGCUAACGGUGGAUACCUA
Molecule: transfer RNA, 464 nt
Filed under: Synechocystis sp. YACCYB325
Lineage: Bacteria; Bacillati; Cyanobacteriota; Cyanophyceae; Synechococcales; Merismopediaceae
Description: partial may contain 16S-23S ribosomal RNA intergenic spacer
Rfam family: tRNA (bases 108-181)
Source: RNAcentral